AUUGAACGCUGGCGGCAGGCUUAACACAUGCAAGUCGAGCGAGCGGCGGACGGGUGAGUAAUGUCUGGGCCACUUCCUGAUGGAGGGGGAUAAAUACUGGAACCGGUAGCUAAUACCGCAUACCAUCAGAUGUGCCCAGAUGGGAUUAGCGAGUAGGUGGGGUAAUGGCUCACCUAGGCGACGAUCCCUAGCUGGUCUGAGAGGAUGACCAGCCACACUGGAACUGAGACACCGGCCAGACUCCUACGGGAGGCAGCAGUGGGGAAUAUUGGACAAUGGGCGCAAGCCUGAUGCAGCCAUGCCGCGUGUGUGAAGAAGGCCUUCGGGUUGUAAAGCACUUUCAGCGAGGAGGCGUUACUCGCAGAAGAAGCACCGGCUAACUCCGUGCCAGCAGCCGCGGUAAUUC
This 406-nucleotide ribosomal RNA is filed under the name uncultured bacterium. RNAcentral describes it as "partial 16S ribosomal RNA". It matches the Rfam family "Bacterial small subunit ribosomal RNA", at positions 30 to 526 of the family's 1533-position model. The record is from RNAcentral.